This 1306-nucleotide long non-coding RNA is filed under the name Oncorhynchus kisutch (coho salmon). Its description in RNAcentral is "lncRNA (ENSOKIG00005041151.1)". Lineage: Eukaryota; Metazoa; Chordata; Actinopteri; Salmoniformes; Salmonidae. The record is from RNAcentral.
GCCAAGGUCUGCAGCAACACAAAAACACUUUCUAAGUUCCCUUGAUUGGAAACAAAAGGAAGAACCCAUGUGGAACAUCUAUAACAAUCAAGUAAUCGCCCUGGGGAGCAAAAGAGGUUGAAAAGAUGUUGGAAAUGCUGUACAUCUUUUUGGGGUUGAAAGGAAGUUGAAAAUACAUAGUUUCAACCAAUUUUGCUCACUGGGCAGCGGUGAACAAUGAAAUCAACCUAGAGUGAAUCAACUGGGCCAAUGGUGUCGGACAUGUUGUUUUAACAAUGCUAAGAGAAUCACACGUAAUGUUUGUACUGUAUGCCAAGAAAGGAACUUUUAUCAACUUUUAUCAACUUUGCUUUGGUAUGGAUUAGGUAGAACAUUGGAAAUAAUCAUUGUAUGGUGGAAAAGAAUAAAUGUGAGGUGAAGACAUUUUGUACGUUUUUUAUGGUGCUGGCAUUCUGUAUUGUGCAUCUCGACCAAUAGAAAUGAAGCACUCUGUCUUAUAGUUGCUUCUUGACCAAUAAGACGUAAGCAUUCUGUUUUAUGGAUGCAUCUCAACCAAUAGAAAUUAAGCAAUACUUUUUAUCCUUUAAAGAUGCUGUAGUUAUCGAAACUUGACAACCAACCAGGUUUCUUUAGUUUUACUUAGUUUUUAGUUUUUCCUGUUUCGAUUACUGUUUUCUGAUUCAUUUGUUCGGGUUUGUUAUUGAGACUGUUGAUGUUCAGUUGUACAAUAAGAUCUACCCAACAUAAUACCUACCCAACAUAGACCUACCGAACAUAGACCUACCGAACAUAGACCUACCCAACAUAGACCUACCCAACAUAGACCUACCCAACAUAAGACCUACCCAACAUAGACCUACCCAACAUAGACCUACCCAACAUAGACCUACCGAACAUAGACCUACCCAACAUAGACCUACCCAACAUAGACCUACCCAACAUAGACCUACCCAACAUAGACCUACCCAACAUAAGACCUACCUACCCAACAUAGACCUACCCAACAUAGACCUACCCAACAUAGACCUACCCAACAUAGACCUACCCAACAUAGACCUACCCAACAUAAGACCUACCCAACAUAAGACCUAACCAACAUGUAUUGGAAAUAAAUGUUCAAUAAAUGUUUUUUUUAUCAUGUCUGGUCAUAUUUGUAUUGUAUUCAAUCUUUAUUUUAGCAGUGAUUCCUAUUGUUACUGAGGUGUCUUUUACAGAGGAACCCUGCACUACAAGCCCAGCAGCAAUUACACUAAGACCAUUAGACAAAGACCAUUAGACAAAGACCAUUAGACAAAGACCAUUACAC